Long non-coding RNA from Ahaetulla prasina, 14413 nucleotides. RefSeq lists it as uncharacterized. The record is from RefSeq and is a predicted model, not a curated record. The transcript has 3 exons. NCBI's taxonomy places the organism in Eukaryota, Metazoa, Chordata, Lepidosauria, Squamata, Colubridae.
GAGGCAGGCCAGGUGGAGCAGGUGAUGAGGCCUCCGUAUCCCCCCCCCGCCCAGGAAACGCUUCCAGGCCCAGCUGUGGACAAUCAGCCCCUGGUUAGAUCCCAGGUUUCAUAGACAAGAGAGGCGGGAACAACAGAAGCAGGGGUGGGGCAGGCCUAGAAAGUGCUGAGUCACAGAGCCACACCCCACAGGGUAUAAAGCAGGAGGGGCUGCUAUACUACUUUGUGACGAACAAAUCAACUGACUGGAGAAAACUUGAGCUGAACUAUCUGACUGAGCAUUUGGCCUGAAUUGCUGUUUGCUCCUGACUUCCUGGUUGCUCCGGUAACGAGCUCUGCUACGCCGGCAUCAAGAGAUAAAGAAAUCCUUGGCAGACGAACGCUGGUUUGCUGCCAGAGCUGAUAGUUGCCGUGGACUCAAUUGCUGGCUAACUGAGUCAGUUCGUGUGCCUCCAGGACUGAGGUGGGGGACAGAACACACGCCUUCUUUCCUCCCUAAUCCACCUUGGCAAGACCCAUCUUCAAUUCUGUUUUCUAUAGCACUGCUUGAUAGAGUCAUUUUACCACUUUCACUCUUAUUUCCUUGGAAUUAUUAUAUGAAAAUGGAUGACCUGAGGCAAUUUCCAACUUCUUCAUUGACAGAAACUUUCUCUAAGUUGUGAAUCAUUCCCUAUUGCUUUUAUGGUAUGGAUGCCUAUAGCUUUUGAAUAUUUGGAACUGCUCUUUCUUUUUUAUCAAGAUAAUACAUUCACAAUUCCUGCAGAGCUCCUGAAAAUCACAUUUUCAUUUGAAGAAUUUUCAAUUAUUCAGAUGAAAGCUUCUAGACUUCAUAAAAAUUAUUUUUCAAAAUCAAACAGGUUAGAGGAGAAGCAGUGCCAUCAAUCAAACAAAAACACUGAGAACUCAGAUGCUACGUAAUGUAAGUAUUUAACACUUCAGCCACGUUGAGUACAAUUUUCUAUUCCACUUGUGAAAAACAUGUACCAUUCUUCUACAGUUUUAUUUAAUCAUUUGUGACUAUUUGUUACACCAUACGCUUGGGGUAUCUUUGUAUUGCCAUCCCUGUGUAUACAUAUACACAGUUUACAAAUUAAACAGAUAAAAACAGAAAAGCUGUGGGAGAAGACUUGAAAAAUAAAAGAUCAAAGAGACUGUCAUUAAAUGUAAUAGAUUUCUGCUAUCACAGCAUUUCAGCUUUAGUGCAUCGCUUUAACUUCAAGGCUUAAAAACACUAGCACAGUAACAACCAAGAGAACUGCCUUGUUGGGUCAGACCUAGAGCCCAUCUAGGGCAACAUUCUCCUUCCAAGAGCUUCCAGACAGAUGUUUCUGGAAGUUUACAAACAUAACAUAGAAUUAAUAUACUAAAAAAAGAUCUAGAUAUUGAGAUUUAAAUGACUGGUCAGUGCAUCACAUAUUGUUAACAAUAAUGUGUGCAUUGAAAAAUAAUAUGGGGAUGGAAUAUGGCACAUGACAAUAAUUCUCUUGAAAUUGUCAGGCCUUUAAUUCUGUCUGAUUUAGAAACAAUUGAAAAAAAUAAAUAAAUAGAAAAAUGUCAGCCUAUGAAGCAAAGUGCCAAGCAUAUUAACAUCUUUACUUACAAUAAAUACACUAAAUUUGAGGCACAAGGUAACAGUAGCACCAGGAAAACUUUGAUGCAACUCCAUAUUUACCGUAAAUUAAAGAAAGUUGAGUUUUGUUGUAGUCAUGGCCAAUGUUGCGUAGGUUCCAGCAUAUUAUUUUUUUUAAAAAAAAUUGGAUCUUGGUUUCAAAAAAACAGUACAUGCUCAACUUAUAAUGUUGUAUCUGUGCUCCACAUUUUUUCCACAGGCAUCCUUACAAAAUAGAAAUGGUCAAUGUCUGUGGUAACAUAUUGCUGGUUUUGGAAGAAAGUCAGAAAACAACAAGAAAAUGGGUUGUAGAGACCAUUUUAAGAGAGCGGGAAGAGGAACUUAGGCUUGGGGAAUGAGUUUUUGUCAUUGGCUAUGCUUCUGAGAGCCAUUUUGUGAGACCAUCUAAUAUAGUCACAAAUUUGAUUCAUCAGGUCCAAAUGAUUGCCUAUCCCUUCCAUGUGUUAACGCUGUUAAUUUCCUUUUUUUGGAAAGGAUGACACCAUGGCAAUCAUUGCCAAAAAGACAAUGCACUAUAUUAGUGCAGUCUUGAACUACAGCUGAAAAGUCAUCAUCAGUGCUGAAAAAUAGGAUUCUCUGAGUAGUAACUGACUAAACAAUGAAAGGAGUGCUAUGGAAGAAUACUAACUGGAUAUCCUGCAGAAACAACAUGGAUGUGUGCCCAUCAUUCUGGGAAAGAGUGUAUCUCUGGAAAAUGAUCAAAGUUAACAUGUCCUUUGUUUCUGAGCACUUAAAAUGAAUAACAAAUGAACUGCAGCAAGACACAGAAAAAAUGUUAUUUUGCAAGGACAACAGUUUGAGCCUUUCAUGGGAAAACCUAAGUAUGGCUAAAAACUUUAAAGUUUUACCUAUUCCAUUUUGUGGGGUGGAACAGGGGAUAGAAUUAAGGAAGUAAAAUGGCAAAAUAGGCUUAUCUGUUGAAAUUAUCCUUACAUGACUGCAUAAUUACUAGAAAUUCACUAACCCUUUAUGUCUUUGAUGCCUUUGUACUUUCACAGUACAUAUUUCUCUUUUAAUUAACAAACAAUUGCCCUGUGCUUCCACAGUUGCCGCUUGCCUCCACAUCCGCAGCAUGUUAUUGUAUCUAAGUUGUCUACUUCUGAAGUCAGACUAAGAUGUCUUUCAAGUGUAACAAAUAUACCUUCUGUACCAGGUUAUCCUACUCUGCUAGCUGAAUGUGCCCUUGGAAUGAAAGCUAAGAAACACUUUCUCUAAAAGAAUGCAAAUGACCAGCUGUCUCCAAGGAGUAUAAAUCCUUCUAUUCCCCACCAUGCAGCCAGAACUGAAGAAGCUUCUUUGAUGAGAAGCAAAAUGUCUUCAAAGAAAAACAAUCUUCUAUUUCUCCAUGGCUACCAAGUUUCCAGUUGAAGCGCUCAAGGUCUCUUCAGCCUUAUAAGGAAAAUAAACGUAAGUGAUAACUUAAUUAUUUACCAAGUAUUUACAGAACAUCAUUAAUAUUUCCUUUAACUUCUGUAUGUAUACUUCUUCAGCCAACAUGGAGCAUUUCAGAAACAGAACAAGACAGAUAUUGGGAUUGUACAAGCAAGGGAAUCAAAAUAGUUUUAUCAAGGUGAUCUCAAGACAAUGAAAGACACCAACUACCAAGAAAGGGAUUUCUGGUAUGAGACUGCUGAACUUAAAAGCAUCAAUGCAUGGAAUUGCUUUUUUGCUCCUGAAAACCUACACAUAUGAUGGUAUCAAUGAGGCAAUUUUCACUUUAUAUAGGACCACACAAACUUAUUCAUUUCAUCAGAUUUGGGACAUCACCUGACUCCAAAGUGACUGGAGGUCUCACAAUUUAAAACUGAACAUCAUGCAAAACACAAUAUAAAAUAUACAAGAUCAGCACCUCUCUGGACAGUACACUAUAUAUACAAAAGAGACAAUCCAAUAAGGGGACCCUCUCUAUCCCGUUUUAAGUUUUGGGAGGUUUUUAACGCUUUUGGGAAUGCCAUCAGAGUAGGAGCCACAUGAUUUUCUUGGGAGAAUCUGAUUCCAGAAGGCAGGUGUUGCAACAAAAAGACACACUUUCUGCGUUGAUAGGGUUGUUUAAUCAAGAGGACCCGAGCAUUCCAAUUCUGCCAGUUCUUAUGCGAUUAGCAAAUACCAUGGGAUAUAGGCGAUCCCUCAAAUAACCUGGCCCCCUGCCAUAUAAGGUUUUAUAAUGAUAAUCAGCAUCUAGAAUUCUACCUAGAGCACAAUGGCAACCAAUGUAGCUUGCAAAGCAGGACUAGUAUGUGGCCAUCCCAAGCCAUUUCCAUCGUUGGCCAUACCGCUGAAUUCUGGACCAGUGGAAACUUCCAAGUGCUCUUCAAGGACAGACUCAUGUAGAGUACAUUGCAAUAGAUAAGUGACAAUAUUCUGGUAUAAGUGACUGUCUGAGGAGCCUUCUAAUCCAGAAAAGAGUAUAAAUGGCACACAAGAUAAAACUGUACACAGUUGGCUAUGACCACAAUUGUUCUCCAAGUGGGAGCUAUGAGUACAAAACGACCCCCAGACUGUGCACCAGUUUUGAAUGGGGAAGUGCCAUCCCAUCCAAGAUUAGAGACAAAAAAAUAUCCCUGAAUCUGGGGGCCUCCUAAUUCCAUAGCGAUGCAAACUUGACAGGACUAAGUUGGGGUUGAUUUCUCCCCAUCUACCCUCCAGGGACGGGCCAGUACCUAAACAAAAUAAUCUGGCCACUUCAGCACUGAGAGAUGUAAUAUUAAACACACAUAGCCACUUAAAUCAGAAAGUCUGCUCUCAACCAACAUUUCCGGGCCUUAUUUUUAUCAAUUUCCCAAAUAGUUGUGUGUUUAUGUAUUCAGUGUUUAUCAAACUGAAAUGGAGUUGGAUGGAUGACUUGACAUACGUGGGGCAUCAGUUCUUCUACCAGUCAUCUUCAUUAAUUACAGGGUAUCAAAAAUAAAUAUAACCCUUAUAGUUAUAGUGUAAUUUCAAUUCAGAUCUAUACCGAUCAAUAUUAUGGUGAUACAAGUAUGUGCUUCAACUGCGGAUGCAAAGGAAACAGAUACUAGAGUUCUUUAGCAACUGAUCAGAAAAAUACUUCAAUGAAAUGGUAUAAUUGGAAGUAAUAGAGCAUAUAAUUUUGACCUAAGUAUUCUAUCAAGAAAUUUAAAUAUUUAUUGCAGGAUCCAAUCGGAGUCACUGGGACCAGAGGUUUAUUCUUCCAAGCUUUCGGAAUCAUGCUGAAGCCCAACUUCAGAGAACUUCUCUCUCUCUAGAAUCUUGGGACACAUAUAUUUGCCUUCAUUCAUGUUCAAUAUUUAUAACAAAUACUUUCCAAUAAUUUAAAUGACAGAUAUUGCUGGAUGGACAACAUUAACAUCAAAUUGAUUAUAGCCUAUGCAAGAAGAUGGAGCAGAAGCUCUACUAAGUCAUCAUAAACAAGAUCUGCUGCUGGCCUGAACUCCAAUCAAAACUCCUAUGAUACAACUUCAAGAGUAUUUUACAAGAUAAUAUGUUAAAGGUAUAGAACACACAUAACAAAUUAGAUGUGGAAAGUAGACUGUUUGAAGAAUUCAAUAUUAAAGAUGAAGCAAGCAAAAUAUUCUGAAAUACAAAAGAUAAAAGAAAAUGAAGUGCCCAUCUCCUCCUGAAAUGUAAGUGACGAUGGAAAAUAACAGACAAGAGGAAACUUUGCCCAACUAAACAUUUAAUUCCAAAGUAAAGCAAAAAUAAAAAUAAGUAAUACAAAGAAAUUAAGAUAGUUACUGAAUGGGAAGAAUAUAAUAUUUAUAGAAUAUUACAAAAAAUUACAGAAAUUAAUUUUAUGCAAAACAUAAAAGAUAAAGAAGGCAAAGAUUUACUGAAGCAAGAAGAGAAUAUAUGGAGGAGCUGGGGGGGAAAAACCACAUCCCAAUUUCAAUGACAAUGCACUGGAUCUCUGAGCUAUAGCUAGACAAUUUGGAAGAGUGGUUCUUGAAUUGUUUGACUCAAUUAAACCUUUUUCUGGUCUUGAAUUGUCUCUCACCCCCCCACCCCCAAAUACCUCUGUUGCUUUACACAAGUCUUUAAGCAGCAGCAGUCCCAAACUAGAUUCUUGAAUUACAAACAAGCAACUACAAAUUGCUCUGUUACUCUGAGAUUUCCCAAAUCACCCCCCUGGAAGUAAUUACUCCACUGUUCUGAAAAAGGAAGUUAAAUGGGCUCUACAACAAUAAAGAUGCAGGAUUUGUUGAAAUAUCACCCUAUCUAUUGAGGAAUCUGUAAGAUGGUGCAAUUAAAGUGCUCUUGCAAUUUUUAAAUUGUACUGUUAAACAAGAGACUGGAAAAGAUCAUUUUCUAUUUCAACUUUUAAAAAAUCAGUGAUAAAGAAUAUUCAAUCUACUGAGUAACUACAAUUAUCUCAUAUAUUAACAAUGCUCAAGAUAUUAUACUUUAGGAUCAGCAAUAUAUGAAAUAAGAACUGCCAGAUAUACAAGCUGGAUAUCGAAGACAAAAAGGCACCUAAAAUAUCAUUGCUAAUAUCUAAUGAAUAAAACAAAAGGAGGGUUCCAAAAACAUGCUUACUUUUUGCUUAUUGAUUGUAUUAAAGCUUUUGAGUAUAUAUCUCUCAACCAAUUCUGGGCAACUCUUAAGAACAUAUGUAUAUAUUCAUUUGUCUAGGGAAGCAACUGGAUAGUUCAAUAUUGAGAAAGGAAUACACUGAGGUUGUCUUAUGUACAUAUACAGAAUAUAUAAUGAAAAAUGCUGAACUAGAAAAAAAUGAAAUAAGAAUUAAGAUUGCUGAAGCCUAAUAAUUUCAGGUAUGCUGACGAUAUCGCUUUUAUAGAUGAAAGUGGAGAAAAAAGAUGAAAGAACAGAAUACAAAAGUUGGCCUAUUCAACAUUUAAAACAUGUCAACAGAUAAUGUCAAUCAACACAAAGACACAAAAACAUAACAAAAAUCAUUUUAAAACAUUAAAGCAAUCAAAGCUAUUUUAAAAAACAUAAUCUGCAGGACAGCCCAUUCAGUUCCCUUAGCAAUAAAGCCAGAUUUUUUGCCAGUUUCCAGUAUUUUUGACUGUUUCAGGCAAAAAGUACCCAUUCAGGAGAAUGGCUUUGCACUUAUGACUAUGUGAUUUGCUUACCAGCUACAAGAUUUAAACUUACACUUGCAUGAGUUACUUAAAGACUGCCAUAAAAAUGGGUCUGGUCAUCUAGGUACCUUGACAUACAACUAUCGGGACAUACACCUGAACUUCUGAUCCAAAUUGCAGUCAUAAGCCAAGGGCUACCUAUAAUUCAGUCUAGGUAUAGAUAAAACCCUGGAUGGAUAAAUAUUUGGCACUGAAAAAUACAAUGUUUAUGUGCAAACACCAGUGGUGUUUAACAUUUUAAUGUAGCACUGGAAAUAUAUCCAAAUUAAGAGCUCUCCUUCAAAGUAGUGCUGUUCAAGUUCUAGAUGUUUGACAAGGAAUAACUCUAACUAGAAAGUAACUUCUGGGUUUCUGAAUAUUUAAGAGUAGCCACUAACAUUUCUGCUCAAAACAUCGAGUUUAUGAAUUGCUUUAAUCUCUUCCCAACUUUUUCCAGCAGCCUAGGAAAGGAUACAUGAAGUCUGAAUAGAUUCUUUCCUGCUAAUUUAGAAACGAGGAAUUUAAAAGCUUCUAAGUCAUCAAAUCAUUAUACCAAGGACUCAUCCUAAGCCUCAAUUUCUUUUAUCCUAAAUUUCUAGUGAUGUCUUUCUGUAUAUCUAAACUCCCAGAGUUGGAUGGAUCAGGUGAUACAGAAUGCUCCAAGACACAUUUAAUUAUUGAGGUCCUCCCAGUGUAAAAUAGUGAAUUACAGCACUUGUUGUUUCCAAUGCAACAUGUGUUUUUUUUCCCCAGGAAAGUCUACAUAUUUAUGAUCCUGGAAAUGAACUAACGCAGUAACAGCUCCCACCCAAUAAAAUGAGAACAAAAGAAGUACUGUGAAGUGCAUGACUGUUAGGAUAAGAUAUUUAAAAGCGAAUGCAUCAUAAUUUUUGUUGUAAUUACAGGAUCUGGAGACUUACAGACUGUGAUGUAAAAAUUUAAAACUACAGAAGUCUUCAGAGGAAGAUGUUAAUUUUUAUUCUUUCCAAGCCAAUAAAAUGUUGGAAAGAUAUAUUGGAAAGGGAUUUACGACUCUGUCUAUCAGCAGGAUAACUCUGAAAACAGAACAGACCAGGACCAAAUUUGGUGUACAGGAAGAAGUUGGCAAAAGAAGAACUAGAGUUCAAAAAUGUGUCAGAUCCAGCUGGGGUUUACAAAGAUUAAAAAUCUAAAAUAUAUAAAUCUCCUCAAUGCAUCCCUAAGGUUGGGCAGUGAUCCAGAAUCCUGCUGACAUUUCCAUUUUAAGUUUUCCGCCCUCCUGGCUACAUAAUCCAGCAUAUGUAGAUGCAAAGGUGGCUGGGGCAUUCUGGGAGUUGAAGUCCUCCAGGCUUAAAGUUGCCAAGGUUGGAGACCCCUGUUGUAUACCACACAAGAGAAGUAAUGGGUCAGACAAGAUGCAACACAAGAGGAAUAAUGGACCUGACAAGGGCAAUACAGGCACACAUACACAGAAACAGACACUAUAGAUGCAUACAGCAAAUCCAGACAGGUCCCUGGGGACAAAUAUAGAUCAUACAUAUGACAUAUCCUCACUUCGUUACACAGAAAACAAUGUAUGUGCCUGCUACGGCAAUUGCUGGUGAAAGUGUGGAAAGAAUUCAAGAACCACACCUUGACAGAAAUAACACUAUUGUUCAUCUUGAUUUUUUAAAAAAUGACUACAUAUGUUCAGUAGCAACUGAUAUAUGACAUUCUAUAUGUUAUCUUUUUUGCACAAACUCCAAUUUGAUUUGGAAGGAGACACCAUGGACACUUGUAAACUACUCCAAGGCUGCAUGCUUACCAGAUUAAAGUAAAUCUGCUAGUUUUAAAGGGGUUUAUUUUCAAAGGUGGCAUCUAAUCUAAUCUAGACUCGUCUAGAUUAGAUUAGAGUCAUCUAAACCCUGCGUGGCCAAAAUUAAUUAACAAGAUUAACCAAAAAAAAUUGAUACUUUAUUCUACUCUAACAUUACAGGAAUCUAAACUCUAAAAGCCCAAUUAUCACAAAUGGGCUUUAUACUCUUAUUCUUAUACAGUUCAUCAAGAUGCAAAGAAGAGGAGAUAAAAUGGAGGACAAAAGCCAACCCAGCAGGAUCAAGGAGUGUGACUAUAUGCCCAGAAUCUGAUGGCUAACAUUCAAAAUGGGUAAAGAAAAAAUGAAUAGGAAAUAAAAGGAAAGCAUCCUGUUAUAAAGAAAUUUUUGCAAACAAAAAGUUCUUGGAGUCUUAUGAAUUGAUCAAAAAGUCAAGUUCAAAGAUAAAACUGUAUGCCAAAGUAUAUGUAGAUUAGGAAUGUCUGGCUUAAGAGAAGGACAGACAAUUAAUGUUCUGACACAAGUCAGAGAAUAAAAAAAAGAUGCAUUAUCUAGCAGCAAAAGCUUGGCAGUUAUAAAGCACAUGGACUCAGGAACAGCUAGGAUAUUGUUUAUAAAACCACAGAGUUGUAACAUGAAAGUAUAGAACCUUUCUCUUUCAUGAAUGUGUGUGCGCAUGCGCACACGCACACACACUGAAACAGUGCUAUUCAAUGGUACCAUUUCUGUUGAAUAGUAUCAUUGAAUAAUAUGAAUUAAAACAUUUUCUUCAAAAGUGAAUGAGGUUCUUGUUUGUUUGUUUGUGUGUGUGUUUGUUUGUUUAUUUAUUAUUCACAUUUUUAUACUGCCCUUCUCCGAAGACUCAGGGCGGUGUACAGCAAAUAAAAUGACAAUAAUACAAAAAACCAUUUAAAAUACCAUAACAAAGUUAAAAAUCUAAUUAAACUUCUGUAUACUUAAAACUAUUAGAUAAAACUACAAAGAUAAAACCCCUGUUAAAAGCCCGCUAAAAUCCCCAAUUAUUAAAAUCAAUCAAUCAGGCCAGCCCCGCUGUCGCUGCCGUUUGAUUCAAAGGUUGAAAGGCUGAUUAAACUUUGCAGGCCUUAUUUGGUUUACACCCCAUUUCUAAUUUGAGAAGGCCAACCAGUAUGGAAAAAGUCCCAUUUUCAUAUACAAAGUUUUGUCAAUAUUUUAUAUCAGAAGCCCAGUUUGGCUCUUUUCCAGUAAGCCUCCUUAUGGAAAUUUCUGAUUUCCUCAUCUUCCCACCAUGACAAAUGUGUGGGAAUCAAAGAUCAUAUUGGGUGGCAGCUGUGGGCAAGAUGGCACAUAACAAGUAAAGAUGAGAGAAGCUGCUUUCUCAGUAAGCGAGAAAGUCUCCCAGUUCAAAGGCACACAGGAUCUUGCCACGAGCACUUCUGCUUUUAAUUAAAAUAUCUUCAGUGACUUUGAAGGAGGAGAAUUACAAGGAGAAAAAAAGACACUGAACUGGCUGCUCCUCACCACAAUGACAUUGUAACUCAGAAACAAAGGCACAGAACCUUUUGUUCCAGCACUGAAGGUUGCAAGUGAAUCUGAGCAGUAGACAGAUUCAGGUAUUAAAAUGGCUUUCAAGGCCUUUCUACACCAUCUGUUUAUUGUCCAGUAAGAAUGCAUUUGGUUCUAAUUUGCUAUAGACAACCUUUAUUACUUCCGCUGAUUAAGCUUACAAUGAGAGACUUCCACCAGCCCAGUGAAGUUCUUGAAUCUACACCUCAAAGAGCUGACCUUCGCACUUUCAUAAACUUUCUGUAUGCCUAUGGAACGAUUCCUUAUUUCUUUGAAUUCUACCUUCUGUGCUGCUAUUAAAAAGUACAUCUCUUACAAUGUAUUCCUAAUUAAAAUGGUAGGGUUAAUUCAAGAGGCACAUAGCUGGUAAGCAAAGCCAUUAUCUGGAUCGACACUAUGAAGGCCCAAAACAGAUAUGCCAAAGUUUCCUACAUUUGCAGUUGCUUCACACUGUUGAGACAUGGAUAAAGAGUGAAUAAUCUGUGCAGGCCUACUCACAUAUGUGAAAUAUACUUCCAUGUUAUUUAGGUGGAUAGUUAAUAAAAACCAUCUACCUUUUUCUUAAAAGGAAUUGAGGUUUGUGUCCCUGCACUAUGCUUUAGUGUAAAAAAGUGCACCACUUUUAAUAGAGUGAUGAGCUAGGCAGAGCUAACCCAAAGACACUAAAACUCAAGACUGUGUCUGUUCUACCUUGCUUCCAGAAAUAAAGCAAUAUUUUAUGGAAUUUUCUAAAGGAUAAACACUCUUUUAGGUCAGAGUUGCCAUCUAGCCAGAUUUUUGCUUUCCUUCAAAACAAGAAAAAACUUUCUGCCCAUGCAAUUACCCACAAGUAGUAUGUUUGUAAAAGUAGAGUACUACCCUUUGGAAAUACUUUUGGGGAAAUCAUGCUUAUGAUUAAGAUGCAGCUUUCUGUUUUGCUCAUGCAGAAAAGCCCUUGGGACAACAUCAGGAAUUAAAUAGCCUACAAAUCACAGAACCACAACCUAGAAACAACAAAUAUGUAACAAGGCUGAAAAGAGCAUAAACUGAACAUAUUCUCAUAGUGAAAGGAAAAAGAGGCUGAUAUAAGUAUUGUAGCAAGAAAUAAAAUCUUAUUGGUAAUUCAUAUAGAGAUACGUUUUUUGGAGAAACCCAAACUUUUUGGCAAGAGAUCUUUAGUUAGACACAUUUAUCAAAAGGAAAGAAGCCUCAAAUUUGGAUGCAAGUAGCUACAGUAUUGACUUUAUAUGUUCAGCACUCUUGACAGCAGCUGCACUUGUAUCUCAUCCAUAAGAAGUUAUGGAAUUUGGAAAGAUCAAUUAUAAACAACUUCAGAAGAACUCUAAUCCUUUCCUAAUUCAGUAUGCCGCCUGAGAGGCUAUGAGAUAAGACUAUGGAAACGAAUUCCUAGUACACUCUGUAUAACCUAUCAACCUCUAAGUGACUCUUAGUAUAUAUCACAUUCUGCAAGCAAUAUUUUCAGAUCAGCUAAGCUAUUUUUCAUGCAAAAAAAAAAAGAAAGAAAGAGAGAAAAUCACCAUGCAAGGCUCUUUUUGUUCCACCUAGACUCUCACCCUCAUUAUGAAAAGUAGCCAGUUUAUGCAAAAAUCUUUAAUGCAAAGAGUUAAACUCAGUCACAGCAAACUUUGCUAAAAAUCAAGAACACAAUUUUUCAAGGCCUCUAAAACAGAGAAAGAUUGUUCAGUUGGCAAAAGUAUGCUCUUUUCUGAGGCCUGGGGGCUAAAAGAUCAAAAGAAAGAGAGGGAAGAAAAAACAGAGCUGCAUUGACCCACAACAGGGAGGAACUCUUACAGAAGUUAACAAAUUAACCUCAAGUCGGAGAAGUAGAGGAAGGUCAGUCUAGUGAUCUUCAGAACAGAUAAUAAACACUGUGGGAUUAUAGUAACCGUAAACAGUGACUGAUACUAGAAAAUAAAACACAACUCUUUACAUCUGGGAUGCAAUGGUUGUGCAAGAGAUCCUAUCUCCUUUCCAUAUCUUCCUAAAGUAGAGUCAUUUCAUGUUUUGUACACCGCUUUCAAGCAUGACCAUGUUGCCUGAUUUGUAAAAAGCCUACAAUGAAUGCAAAAUAUAAUUCAGAACCUGGAUUACUCACUACAUGCCUACAAUAUAAGGCAGACAAACUGAACAGAAGUUUUAAAAUAACCCAAGGCUUACUGCUGCUGUUUUAUUAAUUCUGGGAAAUGAACCCAGGAUGAUAAGAUAAUUGAGCUAUCUACAAUACUUUCAACACUUCCAUUACAAGAAUAAUUUUUUUCAUAACCCGUCGACAAUGGUAAUAGUCAUUAGGCCAUAUAGAAAUGCAAAAUAUAAAACACAGAAUAGAACUAGUGGUUCGUGAGAAAAUUUUGGUGGGCCACAGAAUAAUUAUUUGCAUUUUUUAUAUUGCACUAAAUACUAUUCAUCUUUAAAAAAAAAUCAUAUUAGUGGUCUGUUGAAUUUAAAAUUAUGAAUUUAGCAGUUCCUGAGUUCCGAAACGUUGGCGAUCUCUGGUAUAUAAGACCAUUAUAUUAAAAAUAGAAUAAAAGAAAUAAGCAUAAAAAAUUGGCAUAAUUUGAUACAGACAUAUUUGUUUCCAAAAAGCAAGGCAAAUGAGAAGAACAAAAUCUGUUCGGGGCACAUAUUCAAACUUUCAGUCCUUAUUAACACCAUAUUUUUCUUAAGAAGAGAAAGAUUAGAAUGAAACAUGAAUUAUUCUCUCUCGCUUAAUACCCCAUGCACUUUGCAAAGCUGUAGUCAUAUAAACUAAAAAUAACAUGCACUGUAGUAUCACAAGACAGUUGAGUUGAGUAAUAAGCAUGGGCAGUUAAUGUGCCCAAAUAAGAACAAGGUACAAAUGCUUGCAGGCAGAGGACAGAUCAGCAUCUUCCUUCAUUAUUUACCAAUCAGUGGCUCUAGAGGAGAGAUAAUGUUUCCCACAUUCUUUUAAGAACUAGGAGACAGGCUUUGGGACAAUUAUUAAACAAUGCCAUGGCAAACAUGGAAGAUUGACUAAAUCAAAGGCCAUUCUUUUUGGCAUGUGGGACACAUGGAGCAAAAAUGUGGUACUCAAUGUAAGGAAGGACAAUGUUGCCUUGCUCAAAGGAACUAGUAAUGUAGUUUUAAAGGAACUAAUCAAGGAUAAGCAACUUUGUAUCAGAAUAAUGGUCAAAUUUACAAAGGAGUUUUAGUUCAUAGAAAUCCGCCUUAGAUAUCUUUCUCCUUGCUGCAUCCUGAAAGAUUCAUUUACCUGGACAGAAACUCUUAAAAUAUAUUACUAUAUAGCAUUAGAAGUAGCUGAAACCAACACCUUCCAAUUAUUUAAAAAUCUUGGUCCUGAAUUUAUUUGUUACUUGGUACGAUUACAGGCAAUGCUCUGUUUUCAAUUAUUCUUAAUUAGAUGAUCCCAAGAAAUACUUCCUAUUGCUCAAACACUGCAAUACUAUAUAGCUAUUCCCUUCCUAACUGAUAUUAAACAAUACUGUGAGGAUUCCAUCUGUAACAUAUUAUCUUUAAUUAGAAAAAUGCUGGUAAAAAAUCAUGAGACAGUUAUUAAUGAACCCUAACACUGCUUGUUCCCCCUUAACAUUUUGUGAUAGAGAAACAAUGAAUAUAUAAUAAAACUCUCAUCCAGAAGAACCUUAACUCCAAGAAAGUGAAUUAUUACCCAGUUAAAUCCGUAAGAAUUAGCAUAAGGAAAUUUCACUGAUCCAGUAAUGUAACAUGUUAAAAAAUAAAGAGGGCUUAAGCCAAAUAAAAAUAUCACUAUGAUUCUAUAGAAUUCCAGAAUGUUUUGUUUAUUUCUGGACAAUGCUGAACCUCUCCUGGCUUUUCAGGAUUGGUCCAGCAGUUUCCAGAAGUAACUUCUUGGAAGUACAAUUGUUUUCUGGUAUUCCAGAUAUUGCAUUAUGAAUAAAACAGGUACAUUUUAGGCAGUGGUGGGAUUCAGCCAGUUCGCACCACUUCAGGAGAACCAGUUGUUAACUUUCUGAGCAGUUUGGUGAACUGGUUGUUGGAAGAAAUCAUUAGGGCAGGGAACCAGUUGUUAAAUUAUUUGAAUCCCACCACUGAUUUUAGGGCUGGAUCAUAGACUUAGCAUGGUUGGGAUGAAACAGAAUGUUUUCCAGAUCAAUGAAUUCUGCACCCAUUCUAAUAUCCAGUAUCCUCCUUCGUGUUAAUGCUGCCAUUAUUUUAUCAACAAUCCAUUAUUCCACACAUUACCAGGUAUUAGAGGACCAGUGAGAUAAGAUUUUCGAAAUUUAGAAUAAAAGAACUAUUGAUAGAAUCAUCUAUAUUCAAAGCAAGAAUCAUUUUAAGAAAUUCUAGCACCACAAGAAAUCAAGCCAUUUCAAAUGUCCUUCAUUUGAUUUAUACAAUAGUAAUCAUUGAUCUUAAAAACAAAACAUUU